This 305-nucleotide ribosomal RNA is filed under the name uncultured bacterium. RNAcentral's name for it is "bacterial SSU rRNA". It matches the Rfam family "Bacterial small subunit ribosomal RNA", at positions 335 to 655 of the family's 1533-position model. The record is from RNAcentral.
UUUCCUACGGGGCGCAGCAGUGGGGGAUAUUGCACAAUGGGGGAAACCCUGAUGCAGCGACGCCGCGUGGGCGAAGAAGUAUUUCGGUAUGUAAAGCCCUAUCAGCAGGGAAGAAGAAAUGACGGUACCUGAGUAAGAAGCACCGGCUAAAUACGUGCCAGCAGCCGCGGUAAUACGUAUGGUGCAAGCGUUAUCCGGAUUUACUGGGUGUAAAGGGUGCGUAGACGGAGAAGCAAGUUAGUUGUGAAAUCCCUCGGCUUAACUGAGGAACUGCAACUAAAACUACUUCCCUUGAGUACUGGAGA